AUUAUUAUUUGGUUGGGUAUCAGAUGAUUGGAAUAUUUUAGGAGGUCAUGACCUAUCCCAGAGUCUUGGAUUAUGCAAAAAUACUACCUUGUUAUAUGUUUGGAAUUCAUCCAACUCAGGGUAUGCAUUGGAUGAUUUGGUUUGGUAAUGGAGGUGGUCUCCAGUUCUGGUUGGACUUGGGAUGUCUAUUAUGACAAGCCCUUGGUUUGGGUCAUGUC
This 218-nucleotide long non-coding RNA is filed under the name Capsicum annuum. Its description in RNAcentral is "long non-coding RNA (CANN_LNC015810)". Lineage: Eukaryota; Viridiplantae; Streptophyta; Magnoliopsida; Solanales; Solanaceae. The record is from RNAcentral.